UUUUUAAAUAUAUGAGAUCGAUCUUUGAAAACUGAAUUAUUAUCAACAAUCUUUCUAAUAGUUAGAUAUGUAAAAAUAUCUAAUGAAUAGAAUUAUAUUAAUUUAAUUAAUAUAGUUAACAAUCAUAUUAAAGAUACAACUUUAAGGAUUUACAAUAAGUUAUUAAGAGCUUAUGGUGAAUGCCUUGGGACAAACAGGCGAUGAAGGACGUGCAAAUCUGCGAUAAGCAACGGGAAGCUGAUAAGAAGCUGUGAUCCGUUGAUUUCCGAAUGAGUAAACUCAAUAUAAGUAAUUUUAUAUUAUUACAUUAUGAAUUCAUAGUAAUGUAAGGCAAUACCUCGUGAAGUGAAACAUCUCAGUAGCGAGAGGAAAAGAAAACGAAUGUGAUUCCGGUAGUAGCGGCGAGCGAAUCCGGAACAGGCCAAACCGAAUCUUGAUUCGGGGUUGUAGGACUGCAAUGUGGACUAAUUGUCGAUAGUGGAACGAGUUGGGAAGCUCGAUCAUAGAGGGUGAUAAUCCCGUACACGAAAUCAACAAUUUACCUAGCAGUAUCCUGAGUAGGGCGGGACACGUGAAAUCCUGUCUGAAUCUACCCAGACCAUUGGGUAAGCCUAAAUACUAGUUUGUCACCGAUAGCGCAUAGUACCGUG
This 650-nucleotide unclassified non-coding RNA is filed under the name Ureaplasma sp. RNAcentral describes it as "partial contains 16S ribosomal RNA, 16S-23S intergenic spacer and 23S ribosomal RNA". The stretch from base 153 to 650 matches the Rfam family "Bacterial large subunit ribosomal RNA", at positions 1 to 505 of the family's 2925-position model. Lineage: Bacteria; Bacillati; Mycoplasmatota; Mycoplasmoidales; Mycoplasmoidaceae. The record is from RNAcentral.